ACACCGGCGGCCCGAGUGGUGAUCGUGAUUAUUGGGUCUAAAGGGUCCGUAGCCCGGUUUGGUCAGUCCUCCGGGUAAAUCUGACAGCUCAACUGUUAGGCUUUCGGGGGAUACUGCCAGACUUGGAACCGGGAGAGGUAAGAGGUACUACAGGGGUAGGAGUGAAAUCUUGUAAUCCCUGUGGGACCACCUGUGGCGAAGGCGUCUUACCAGAACGGGUUCGACGGUGAGGGACGAAAGCUGGGGGCAC
Molecule: ribosomal RNA, 250 nt
Filed under: uncultured bacterium
Lineage: Bacteria
Description: partial 16S ribosomal RNA
Rfam family: Archaeal small subunit ribosomal RNA
Source: RNAcentral